This 379-nucleotide ribosomal RNA is filed under the name Klebsiella sp. Its description in RNAcentral is "bacterial SSU rRNA". It matches the Rfam family "Bacterial small subunit ribosomal RNA", at positions 61 to 438 of the family's 1533-position model. The record is from RNAcentral. Lineage: Bacteria; Pseudomonadati; Pseudomonadota; Gammaproteobacteria; Enterobacterales; Enterobacteriaceae.
GUCGAGCGGUAGCACAGAGAGCUGGCUCUCGGGUGACGAGCGGCGGACGGGUGAGUAAUGUCUGGGAAACUGCCUGAUGGAGGGGGAUAACUACUGGAAACGGUAGCUAAUACCGCAUAACGUCGCAAGACCAAAGUGGGGGACCUUCGGGCCUCAUGCCAUCAAAUGUGCCCAGAUGGGAUUAGCUAGUAGGUGGGGUAAUGGCUCACCUAAGCAACGAUCCCUAGCUGGUCUGARAGGAUGACCAGCCACACUGGAACUGACACACGGUCCACACUCCUACGGGAGGCAGCAGUGGGGAAUAUUGCGCAAUGGGCGCAAGCCUGAUGCAUCCAUGCCGCGUGUAUGAAGAAGGCCUUCGGGUUGUAAAGUACUUUCA